Alligator sinensis (Chinese alligator) is the source of this 504-nucleotide long non-coding RNA. RefSeq lists it as uncharacterized. NCBI's taxonomy places the organism in Eukaryota, Metazoa, Chordata, Crocodylia, Alligatoridae. The transcript is spliced from 3 exons. The record is from RefSeq and is a predicted model, not a curated record.
CAGGCUUCUAGGGAGGAAAGCCUAAGACAGGCAGGCAGACAGUCAAGAGUGGAGGGCUGAGAGCCAGAGAGCUGAGACCAGCAGAAAUCUGAGAGCCUAAAGGUUAGAAGCUGAGAGCCAAGAGGGAGAGAGCUGGUGGGUCAGUGAAUUGGUGCCUGAGGAUGCUGCCUAGAGUGCUUUUCUCCUGGGAGCUAACCAGAAACUCAUAAUUUCCCAGAACUUCCAGAACAGUGGGAAACUAGCCAGCUUUUAUGAGAAUGUUACAGCUUGGAAGACUAAAGAACCCUGACUGUCUUGAAGCAAAUGUACAAGCUGUACUGAGUACUCCAGUACUGCUGUAACUAGGAUCUGGAUCGUCAAGUUUCAGUCUAUUGGUUACUGGUUUGCUGCACAAAAAGACUGUAGCUGUGUUGCACCCAAUCUCAUUCACCAGAUAGGAUGGAGAGGGCUCUGUUCAAAAAUCAUCAUGGGCCCUUGUGCUUUAUUUUACUGCCUAAUUAUCAA